GGAUCUAUGAUGAUACCCAGUCAAACAUUCCUUGGAAAAGCUGAACAAAAUGAGUGAAAACUCUUUACCGCCACUCUCUUCGGAACUGAGGUCC
This 94-nucleotide small nucleolar RNA is filed under the name Mus musculus (house mouse). RNAcentral's name for it is "predicted gene, 23141 (ENSMUSG00000118975.1)". It matches the Rfam family "Small nucleolar RNA SNORD116". From Rfam's summary of the family: HBII-85 is a member of the C/D class of snoRNAs, which contain the C (UGAUGA) and D (CUGA) box motifs. HBII-85 is encoded in a tandemly repeated array with another C/D snoRNA, HBII-52, in the Prader-Willi syndrome (PWS) region of chromosome 15. Lineage: Eukaryota; Metazoa; Chordata; Mammalia; Rodentia; Muridae. The record is from Rfam by way of RNAcentral.